Molecule: ribosomal RNA, 495 nt
Filed under: uncultured bacterium
Lineage: Bacteria
Description: partial 16S ribosomal RNA
Rfam family: Bacterial small subunit ribosomal RNA
Source: RNAcentral
GACGAACGCUGGCGGCGUGCCUAAUACAUGCAAGUAGAACGCUGAAGGAGGAGCUUGCUUCUCUGGAUGAGUUGCGAACGGGUGAGUAACGCGUAGGUAACCUGCCUGGUAGCGGGGGAUAACUAUUGGAAACGAUAGCUAAUACCGCAUAAGAGUAGAUGUUGCAUGACAUUUGCUUAAAAGGUGCAAUUGCAUCACUACCAGAUGGGCCUGCGUUGUAUUAGCUAGUUGGUGGGGUAACGGCUCACCAAGGCGACGAUACAUAGCCGACCUGAGAGGGUGAUCGGCCACACUGGGACUGAGACACGGCCCAGACUCCUACGGGAGGCAGCAGUAGGGAAUCUUCGGCAAUGGACGGAAGUCUGACCGAGCAACGCCGCGUGAGUGAAGAAGGUUUUCGGAUCGUAAAGCUCUGUUGUAAGAGAAGAACGAGUGUGAGAGUGGAAAGUUCACACUGUGACGGUAUCUUACCAGAAAGGGACGGCUAACUACGUG